Molecule: long non-coding RNA, 209 nt
Filed under: Lathyrus oleraceus (garden pea)
Lineage: Eukaryota; Viridiplantae; Streptophyta; Magnoliopsida; Fabales; Fabaceae
Description: Pisum sativum (pea) long non-coding RNA (PSAT_LNC028996)
Source: RNAcentral
GGAGAUUUUCUCUUUGUUAUUAUUAUUAUUAUUAUUUUUUUUUGCUUUUCUUGAACCCCCAAAACUUCUUUGAUUUUUAUUUCUUGGACCCCUACACAAAUAUUUUCCUUUUGCGCGGAUGAUCCCUGAUCACCGCAUUUGAACCCCGACAACUUCAUGUCACUCUCGCUACCAAACAAUGAACCCCGUUCUCCAGAAGACACUGUAAC